UCUUGUUUUUCAACGGUCAUUUUGCCAUCAUACUGCAUAGUUUCUUCGAAGAUGUCGGAUUAUAAAAUGCUCGACGGAUAUCAAAGCUGCGAUAAAAGUGCAUGUGAUCUGCAACAGAAAUGCGCCUGGAAAAAAAAUCUUCAGAUCCUUUCCUCGCAGAAGGAUCUUGCUGGAGGCAUAGCAGCACAGAAAAUAUAGCAGUUCCCGGGUACAUGGCAUCGUUUGUUCCGGCGUGCGACCGAAGUGGAAUUGCUACAGUGCCGCAGAGCUUGGAGAUAGAAAAUAAUGCUCAAGUAGCUGAUAUCAAAGAUAUUAUAUUCUGAUAUUCAAAACAUGCAUCGUAGCAUAAAAAAGAGGAUCAACUUAUACCGGCGAUAGCAUAAAAUUCCAAAUUAAAGGAACACCAAAAGUGAUAAUUAUAUUUGUGAUUGAAAUUGUGAAUAAAAUAAAAACUUGAAAUAUAAAA
Uranotaenia lowii is the source of this 466-nucleotide long non-coding RNA. RefSeq lists it as uncharacterized. The record is from RefSeq and is a predicted model, not a curated record. The transcript has 2 exons. NCBI's taxonomy places the organism in Eukaryota, Metazoa, Arthropoda, Insecta, Diptera, Culicidae.